Long non-coding RNA from Amphiprion ocellaris (clown anemonefish), 580 nucleotides. NCBI's taxonomy places the organism in Eukaryota, Metazoa, Chordata, Actinopteri, Pomacentridae. The record is from Ensembl.
CUCAGCCAGAGAUGCGAGGGCAGCUAGAUGCUAAGAGGAAGAGAAAACCAGGAGAAAACCUCGGAGUUUACCUGUGAAAAGGAAAAAAACAGUUGGAGCACUUACCCACUGGAGGUCCGGAGCCAAGUGACUGAACCAAGGAGAGAGUUACGUCGGCUAACCACUUGGCUUUCACCCAGAGAGCCGCGGCAAGGUCCGACAUCGGCGUGCCCGCCUUCAUACAGAGAGCAACGGUGAGGUUUUUUUGGAGGACUGAAGAGUCUGAGGUUCAGGACAAACUUCCUGCUGUAACAGAUGGCGAGCCAACCACCCUGAAGAAAGAUCAGCACCGAGAAGAUAUCCACGUACCCACUCAUUCACACACACAUUAUACAUUUACAUUUCACUACAAAGACCUUUGGAAUCAGGUGAACUUGCAAUAAUCCUACAACAGGAAAACCUGCAACAACUCCUAUUUUACUUAAGGGCCCCAACGGACAUUUUUUUGUUUCAAGUGUGCACACUGGGUUUUUCUUAUUGUCUUACAGUUUGGGUUAUUAUUUUGUAUUCUGUACAAAUCAGACAACUUGUUUUAUCCACU